RNAcentral lists this ribosomal RNA (885 nucleotides) under uncultured Acidobacteriota bacterium. RNAcentral's name for it is "bacterial SSU rRNA". It matches the Rfam family "Bacterial small subunit ribosomal RNA", at positions 58 to 944 of the family's 1533-position model. The record is from RNAcentral. Lineage: Bacteria; Pseudomonadati; Acidobacteriota.
CAAGUCGAGCGAGAAAGGGGUAGCAAUACCCUGAGUAAAGCGGCGCACGGGUGAGUAACACGUGGGUAACCUACCCUAGAGUGGGGAAUAACACCGGGAAACCGGUGCUAAUACCGCAUACGAUCACGAUGUCUUCGGAUGUUGUGAUGAAAGGAGCAAUUCGCUCUUGGAGGGGCCCGCGGCUGAUUAGCUAGUUGGUAAGGUAAUGGCUUACCAAGGCUACGAUCAGUAUCCGGUCUGAGAGGACGGUCGGACACACUGGAACUGAGACACGGUCCAGACUCCUACGGGAGGCAGCAGUGGGGAAUUUUUGGCAAUGGGGGAAACCCUGACCAAGCAACGCCGCGUGGGUGAUGAAGUAUCUCGGUACGUAAAACCCUUUCGACGGGGAAGAAAGGCCGCAAGGCUUUGACGGUACCCGUAGAAGAAGCCCCGGCUAACUCCGUGCCAGCAGCCGCGGUAAUACGGGGGGGGCAAGCGUUGUUCGGAAUUACUGGGCGUAAAGGGCGCGUAGGCGGUCUGCUAAGUUGGGUGUGAAAACUCUGGGCUUAACCCAGAGCCUGCAUUCAAAACUGACAGGCUAGAGUUCUGGAGGGGAUAGCGGAAUUCCUGGUGUAGCGGUGAAAUGCGUAGAUAUCAGGAGGAACACCGGUGGCGAAGGCGGCUAUCUGGACAGAGUCUGACGCUGAGGCGCGAAAGCUAGGGGAGCAAACAGGAUUAGAUACCCUGGUAGUCCUAGCCCUAAACGAUGGAUACUUGCUGUGACUGGGAUUGAAUCCAGUCGUGGCGAAGCUAACGCAUUAAGUAUCCCGCCUGGGGAGUACGGUCACAAGGCUGAAACUCAAAGGAAUUGACGGGGGCCCGCACAAGCGGUGGAGUAUGUGG